GAUGAACGCUGGCGGCGUGCCUAAUACAUGCAAGUCGAGCGAACGGACGAGAAGCUUGCUUCUCUGAUGUUAGCGGCGGACGGGUGAGUAACACGUGGAUAGCCUACCUAUAAGACUGGGAUAACUUCGGGAAACCGGAGCUAAUACCGGAUAAUAUUUUGAACCGCAUGGUUCAAAAGUGAAAGACGGUCUUGCUGUCACUUAUAGAUGGAUCCGCGCUGCAUUAGCUAGUUGGUAAGGUAACGGCUUACCAAGGCAACGAUGCAUAGCCGACCUGAGAGGGUGAUCGGCCACACUGGAACUGAGACACGGUCUAGACUCCUACGGGAGGCAGCAGUAGGGAAUCUUCCGCAAUGGGCGAAAGCCUGACGGAGCAACGCCGCGUGAGUGAUGAAGGUCUUCGGAUCGUAAAACUCUGUUAUUAGGGAAGAACAUAUGUGUAAGUAACUGUGCACAUCUUGACGGUACCUAAUCAGAAAGCCACGGCUAACUACGUG
Molecule: ribosomal RNA, 497 nt
Filed under: uncultured bacterium
Lineage: Bacteria
Description: partial 16S ribosomal RNA
Rfam family: Bacterial small subunit ribosomal RNA
Source: RNAcentral